UUUAUUUUUUUAGAGUAUUGCCUUCUCAGUUGCCUUUAAAGAGGUUGGGGAUAUGAAUAAAGGUGCAGAACUACGUUGCUUACUGAAAUCAACCCAAAUUAAAACGAACCUACAUCCUGUACAAGGCCAUCUGGUGGCAAGGUGCCCUGGUGUCUACAUUUUAGUUUUUGAUAACAGGUUUUCUAGGUUCAGAGCCCAUAAAGUCAACUAUUCUCUAAAAAUUCAACGUGCCAAAAGUUUAUGUACAGAGAAAACAGACAAGAUAGAGUGAUGGUCAAGUUAACCUAGCAACUGUAAUUUGUUCAUUUUUGUUGAAUUCAAAAUUACUAUUUUGGCAUUUUGGAAUUUUUUCCUAGUUUAAACCUGGGUAAAGUAUUUAUGUUGAUCUUAUCUAAUUUAUUUCAUGUUUUUAUGGUAUCCCAUAAUAUCACAAUUUUAAUUAGAAUCAUUGUUUUCUUGCAUUUUGUAUUAACAACUAUGUAUUAUAAUGUAUCGAUAUAAACUUUAAACUUUGUAGCUCUGAAUUUGGUAGCUCUCUUGAUACAUUCAAUAACAUUAGAGACUGUAGAAAAUAUAAAAAAGAUAUUUUUACUUCGUUAAGAACUUGUGUGGAAUUAUGGCAGUUUUUAAAAUGUCUCUUACUUAAGACAAGGUAGUAGUAUGCAUGAUGGAGGUUUUGUAAAAAUCUUCAAAAAUUAUUAACUUUGUAUACAACUUUGCCACUCUAUCAGAGUACCUAACAGUAUUAAGAAAAGAGUGGAUAUUUUUUUAUCAGUUUUAUUCGUUUAAUGAUAAAAACUUGUAUGUAUGAUCAGAACAUUGGGAUUAAUGUGAACACUUUUCUCUAAAUUUGUUUAUUAUUUUAUCAAUAUUUUUUAUUCUUAGUGAUUUAAUAAUGAAGAAAAAUAGGAAAUGUUUUGGGCUUAAAAGUUUUUGCUGAAUUAGUAUUUUACGAGUUCCAUUUUGUACAGUUUUGAGGAGAUGAAGCAAAAAAAAAAGAUAUGGGUCAUUGAAAGUCGUGAAUUAUUUGGAGAGAUGUUUAUUAUUGUUGGUAACAAGUACUUGCUCUUCCCAGCUGAUUCGGUGACAGUCAUGAAACAGUCUUCCUCAGAAACAAUAAGUCUUACUUGUAUAACUCAUUCACUCUACUGCUAUGGGAAUUACCAAGAGCACUGACACAUUUGCUGUAAGGUCAUUAACUAAAUAAUUACUAAUGAUAAUCCAGAGUACAUUUAAAGCCUUGCUGUUAUACAGGUUUAAACCUUUUUUUUAUGUUUAACAAAUCAUGAAAUCUCUCAAAUUAUGGUUGAACAUAUCUAUAUAAAAAAAAAUAGUCUAAAACCUGUACAUGUUUGAAUGUUGUAUAAUAAUUAACCAAUAAGAGAGUAAUGAAAUAUAAACCUUCGUUCCAAGAUACUUCUAUUAGUAGGAACCUAUAAGAGGUAUUAUGCCAUCAAGGUCUUGGUUAAACUGUUUUUCAUAAAAUGGUGAACAAGUGUUAUAUGUAAUAAGUUCAAACAAUUAUUACUUUUAUUUGUGUAUAACUUGAAAGUCUGUAGUCGUCCUUAACAAAAUAAGAACCUUGAAAUGAAGUUUGGAAAUAAAUAAUUCCUCAAAAUAAAAUUGUUGAAUGUUUUACCCACUAUUGUUGUGUAAGAUUUAGCAGUUUCUUGUUAACUUCUGUUUGAUACUAUAUUUCCAUCUGGUGCAUAAAAUAUAUUUAUUUAUAUAUAGCAUAAACUACGAUCAAAUGGUCAUUGUUAUUGCUAUAAAAGAGAAAAUCUUGUUACAGUUCUCCUUGAUAAAUGGUCUGUUGUCAUGGAGAGAGAGGUUUUUAAACAGGAAUGUUAACAAUGUGCUCUUCACUAAAGUUUUUAAAACUGUUGGAGUAGAAUAAAUGUACAGAGUUUAUUUUCA
RNAcentral lists this long non-coding RNA (1917 nucleotides) under Limulus polyphemus (Atlantic horseshoe crab). RNAcentral's name for it is "uncharacterized LOC111088388". The record is from RNAcentral. Lineage: Eukaryota; Metazoa; Arthropoda; Merostomata; Xiphosura; Limulidae.